UGUUAGAGCAUUGUGAAUGGACUAAGA
This 27-nucleotide non-coding RNA is filed under the name Rattus norvegicus (Norway rat). Lineage: Eukaryota; Metazoa; Chordata; Mammalia; Rodentia; Muridae. The record is from RNAcentral.